UGGCAGACGGGUGAGUAACACGUGGUCAACCUUCCCUUUAGUGGGGGAUAACUAGCCGAAAGGUUAGCUAAUACCGCAUACAAUCGAGUUCCGGCAUCGGAGUUCGAUAAAAGGAGCAAUCCGCUUAAGGACGGGACCGCGUCCCAUUAGUUAGUUGGUGGGGUGAUGGCCUACCAAGACUCCGAUGGGUAGCUGGUUUGAGAGAGCGACCAGCCACACUGGGACUGAGAAACGGCCCAG
Molecule: ribosomal RNA, 240 nt
Filed under: uncultured bacterium
Lineage: Bacteria
Description: partial 16S ribosomal RNA
Rfam family: Bacterial small subunit ribosomal RNA
Source: RNAcentral